UUAAUAAAUAAAAAAAUUAUUAUAUUCAAUUAUAUCUCAUGAAUUAUAAAAAACCUCUAUCCAUUCACAUUCUCUAUUUAAGUAACAUGUCCCUUCAACUUUCUUCUAUCAAAUUCUUAUGACUUGAACAAUCUAUAUAUAGGCAAUGGUUUAUUCCGAAAAUAGCAUUGAACUUUGUAGCCAUGGUUGAACGCAAAAGAAGAAAAUUAAAAGUUUUGGAAGAAGAAGAUUGAAGGAUGAUACACAGAAAAUGGAGUUUGUUAACUAGCCUCGCUGCUAUUCUUGGCGAAAUCAUCUGUACUAUUGUCAUUGCCAUUUCAUCUUCGUCCAAAAUGAUCCAUCCAAGUAAAAUACUAGAUGUGUGAUUCUCUGGUUUAAGGUUGUGAUGUUUGCUCCACCUUUUUCGCAAGAUUGUAUGCAAAUAAUUUUAGUGAAUAUGACAAGCCUUCUGAAUCUAAAUAAAUAGUGGAAUAUUGUUCAGAAAAGAAAGAAGUAUUCAUUGGGCAGAAGAGCAGACAGAAAAGUUAUUGUUCUUUGGAAAGAAAAAUCAAUUUAACAAGCUGAACAAUUUUUAUGUUUA
Molecule: long non-coding RNA, 580 nt
Organism: Capsicum annuum
Lineage: Eukaryota; Viridiplantae; Streptophyta; Magnoliopsida; Solanales; Solanaceae
Exons: 2
Source: RefSeq, a predicted model, not a curated record